This 253-nucleotide ribosomal RNA is filed under the name uncultured bacterium. RNAcentral describes it as "partial 16S ribosomal RNA". It matches the Rfam family "Bacterial small subunit ribosomal RNA", at positions 524 to 776 of the family's 1533-position model. The record is from RNAcentral.
UACGGAGGGUGCAAGCGUUAUCCGGAUUCACUGGGUUUAAAGGGUGCGUAGGUGGAGUGGUAAGUCAGUGGUGAAAUCCCCGAGCUUAACUUGGGAACUGCCGUUGAUACUAUCUGUCUUGAAUAUUGUGGAGGUGAGCGGAAUAUGUCAUGUAGCGGUGAAAUGCUUAGAUAUGACAUAGAACACCAAUUGCGAAGGCAGCUCGCUACACAUAUAUUGACUCUGAGGCACGAAAGCGUGGGGAUCAAACAGG